GACGAACGCUGGCGGCGUGCUUAACACAUGCAAGUCGAACGGAACACCCUUGACAGAGGUUUCGGCCAAUGAAGAGGAAUGUUUAGUGGCGGACUGGUGAGUAACGCGUGAGGAACCUGCCUUUCAGAGGGGGACAACAGUUGGAAACGACUGCUAAUACCGCAUGAUACAUUUGAGGGACAUCCCUUGAAUGUCAAAGAUUUAUCGCUGAAAGAUGGCCUCGCGUCUGAUUAGCUAGUUGGUGGGGUAACGGCCCACCAAGGCGACGAUCAGUAGCCGGACUGAGAGGUUGACCGGCCACAUUGGGACUGAGAUACGGCCCAGACUCCUACGGGAGGCAGCAGUGGGGAAUAUUGGGCAAUGGACGAAAGUCUGACCCAGCAACGCCGCGUGAAGGAAGAAGGCUUUCGGGUUGUAAACUUCUUUUAACAGGGAAGAGUAGAAGACGGUACCUGUUGAAUAA
Molecule: ribosomal RNA, 463 nt
Filed under: uncultured bacterium
Lineage: Bacteria
Description: SSU rRNA
Rfam family: Bacterial small subunit ribosomal RNA
Source: RNAcentral